Molecule: ribosomal RNA, 261 nt
Filed under: uncultured archaeon
Lineage: Archaea
Description: partial 16S ribosomal RNA
Rfam family: Archaeal small subunit ribosomal RNA
Source: RNAcentral
UAGCCGUAAACGAUACUCACUAGGUGUCGGCCACGGUGCGACCGUUGUCGGUGCCGUAGGGAAGCCGUGAAGCGAGCCACCUGGGAAGUACGGCCGCAAGGCUGAAACUUAAAGGAAUUGGCGGGGGAGCACCACAACGGGUGGAGCUUGCGGUUUAAUUGGAUUCAACGCCGGAAAUCUUACCGGGACCGACAGCAACAUGAAGGCCAGGCUGAAGACUUUGCCGGAUUAGCUGAGAGGUGGUGCAUGGCGUAGACGUCU